RNAcentral lists this ribosomal RNA (583 nucleotides) under uncultured bacterium. RNAcentral's name for it is "partial 16S ribosomal RNA". It matches the Rfam family "Bacterial small subunit ribosomal RNA", at positions 355 to 935 of the family's 1533-position model. The record is from RNAcentral.
UGGGGAAUUUUGGACAAUGGGCGAAAGCCUGAUCCAGCAAUGCCGCGUGUGUGAAGAAGGCCUUCGGGUUGUAAAGCACUUUUGUCCGGAAAGAAAUCCUUGGCUCUAAUACAGUCGGGGGAUGACGGUACCGGAAGAAUAAGCACCGGCUAACUACGUGCCAGCAGCCGCGGUAAUACGUAGGGUGCAAGCGUUAAUCGGAAUUACUGGGCGUAAAGCGUGCGCAGGCGGUUUGCUAAGACCGAUGUGAAAUCCCCGGGCUCAACCUGGGAACUGCAUUGGUGACUGGCAGGCUAGAGUAUGGCAGAGGGGGGUAGAAUUCCACGUGUAGCAGUGAAAUGCGUAGAGAUGUGGAGGAAUACCGAUGGCGAAGGCAGCCCCCUGGCAAGUACUGACGCUCAUGCACGAAAGCGUGGGGAGCAAACAGGAUUAGAUACCCUGGUAGUCCACGCCCUAAACGAUGUCAACUAGUUGUUGGGGGAUUCAUUUCCUUAGUAACGUAGCUAACGCGUGAAGUUGACCGCCUGGGGAGUACGGUCGCAAGAUUAAAACUUAAAGGAAUUGACGGGGGUUAUAGCUGUUU